UUUUAGCCCUGAUGGAAACGGCAUCCUGUUGUGGUCUCGUUUUUUUUUUACGAGACCACAACAGAUAUAGUGUACAGCGGGAUUAGCU
This 88-nucleotide small RNA is filed under the name Flavobacterium limicola. RNAcentral describes it as "Flavo-1 RNA". It matches the Rfam family "Flavo-1 RNA". Lineage: Bacteria; Pseudomonadati; Bacteroidota; Flavobacteriia; Flavobacteriales; Flavobacteriaceae. The record is from RNAcentral.